Small nuclear RNA from Suncus etruscus (white-toothed pygmy shrew), 188 nucleotides. RefSeq annotates it as U2 spliceosomal RNA. The transcript has a single exon. Lineage: Eukaryota; Metazoa; Chordata; Mammalia; Eulipotyphla; Soricidae. The record is from RefSeq and is a predicted model, not a curated record.
AUUGUUUCCUGACCUUUUGACUAAGAUCAAGUGUAGUAUCUGUUCUUAUUAAUUUAAUAUCUGAUACAUUCUCUAUCCAAGGAAAAUCUUUUUUUUUUUUUUUUGGUUUUGGGCCACACCUGUUUGAUGCUCAGGGGUUACUCCUGGCUAUGUGCUCAGAAAUCGCCCCUGGCUUGGGAGGACCAUAU